AACAUCGCGCACCUGCGGGAACCUCCGGAGGGAUCAUUAAUGAUUGGUGGCUGUUGCUGACUAGUGUUUCUAGUAUGUGCACGCCACACCUUCAAUCCCACUUACACCUGUGCACCUUCUGUAAUAGAUCUAUGUGGAUACGGAGAUGUGAAAGUUUGCGCUCUCCUACUCUGUUGAAGCAGUCUACUACGUUUUUUUACACACACACACACAAUAGUCAUUGAAUGUAUUUUUUAUUCU
This 240-nucleotide unclassified non-coding RNA is filed under the name soil metagenome. Its description in RNAcentral is "partial contains 5.8S ribosomal RNA, internal transcribed spacer 2, and large subunit ribosomal RNA". The record is from RNAcentral.